CCUGUGGUCGUCUCCCUUUUACUGUGUCGAGGUAAAACCGUCCCGCGAUAACACCUCCCCCGAGUAAAUACGAAGCAAAUCUGCUCUACCACGCAACAGAAGCAAACUCGUCAGUCACCGCCUGGUCUUCUCGAUGGAGGUGGAGGAGUAGGGGAUCCCGCCGGAUCAGAGGCGUGCGGGCACCGUGGUGGGCGUCUCCGGCAGCGACGGCGACCUGCAGCUACGGCGGGGGCGCUCGAUUUAGUGCAGCGCCAUGGACCGGUCCCUGCAGAAGUGAGAGAAGAUGAGGGAGAGAGAGAAGGAAGGAGAGGAGCAUCGAUGGUGGUUCGAGCGCUGCCGCCUCCAUCCUCGCACCAUCUUCGUCACACGCAGCCGCCUCCUUCCGCACCCCUCUUCUUCGCGCACGGCAACAGAGGCAAGUCCUGUCAGGGAAUAAUAUUAUUCAGGUAGCAUCUUUUUCGUGGAAGAGGAGUGAGAAUUUAAAGGUGCAUGCUACAUAGAAGCUUAGAUCUGUAAUCAAGCUGUGGAAGAGAAUACUGUAAGAGAUACUUCUAUAAGUAGAGACUUAUUGUUUUUCAUUCAGUUGAAGAGCUCUCCAUGCUUAAGAUCUUUUCUAGGAUAAUUGCGUCGUUAAAUAUGAAGGAUUCGCUCAUGUGCCAAAGCCAGCUCGGGGAAGCCUUCCUGGACUCCUGGUUGACCACGACAAUCACGACACGGUGAGUGGAUUUUGAAUCUUUCUUGAGCCGUCGGAUCGGAUUAGAUGUGUAUAUGGUAGUUAUGGACUGCUAACUGCUUAAUGUUGUGUUUCCUCUGUGUACUAUGGUGUGAGCUUAAGCGAGCAGAACGCCGAAGGAGGAUCUUGGGGAUGACGGAGGCAUCGACGACAACCUCAAAGGCGAGAGCUGUGCCUGAGCCCCCACAAGGACGUUGGGUGGAGGAUAUCCGGUGCCAACGGGCCGCUCAUGUAGGUGUCCGAGAUAUCGGAGCUGUCGGAGUCAACGGUCAUCGUCCGGAGACGGGUCGAUGGGGGAUGCUAUGAUGAAUUGGGUCUCUGUUAGAGGAAUGUAUUUUCUUGCAAACUAAAUUUGUUUUCUGGAACAUGUCUUCAUAUUUUAGAUUUUAGUAUAUGGCUUCAGAACUAUUCAUUGGAUAUACUUUGUUGAUUCUAGCCCGUGGAUAAGAAUAUUUUAGUCACUGGAGAGAUUGUUGAACAUGUGACAUUGAUGCAAAUCUCUGGCCACCUACGGGUGAAACUGCUUGAAGACCAAGUUUGAAUAUGUACGAGGGCAGUGAAUUUCGGCAUGCGAGUUUACUUGCAGUCCCUGACCCUAAUGUAAUCAGUCCCAGUAGUGAGGGAAAGGCACUGCCAACGAGGAUGUGGAGGAGAACAAGGUCGAGCCGGAUUGGUGAAGGGUGCUGAGGCUGGCUCUCUCUCCUCCUCGUCUUCGACAGUGUGAAGAAGAUCGAUGUUGAAAUGGACACAUGCUGCAGGAGAAGUAGAGGCGUCUUGUGAGCCUUGGGUUCUUCAUCGAUCUGUUUGUGCGUGCUCUUGGUCGCAUGCACGCCUAAGGAUCGAUGGAUGGGAGGUGGGACACGAUUUUGUGUGGACACCUCUGUAUGCUCCAAGACUUAACUCUGUUGAUUUAUGGCAUGGUGAUUGGUGAUUGAUUUCGAUUGCACGGGAAUUCUGGGGAGAGCAGUGGAAAAGCUAUGGGGAACUUGUGUGUUAACGACGCUAGCAGUGAGGGUUUCUUUUGAGCUUCUCUUCGCUUCUCCUUAAUAAUCGGACCUUCCUGCUAUGCUUAGUGAAUUUCGAUAUUUUGAUGAUGCAAGCAUUGUUGUUUCUAGUGGCUGCAAGUAUUUCCUUUGGGCACAUUUUCUUCUAGCUUAAUUAGUCAGGAUCGUUGAUUUUAUAAACAACAUUCAGACUGUUCCUUGUAUUAGCAAAAAUCAGAUAAGAAUUGAAUUAUUGUACUUAAAGACAACCUGAAUGUCUUGUGCCAUGC
RNAcentral lists this ribosomal RNA (2006 nucleotides) under Triticum aestivum (bread wheat). RNAcentral's name for it is "partial small subunit ribosomal RNA". The record is from RNAcentral. Lineage: Eukaryota; Viridiplantae; Streptophyta; Magnoliopsida; Poales; Poaceae.